This 484-nucleotide ribosomal RNA is filed under the name Bacillus pumilus. RNAcentral's name for it is "bacterial SSU rRNA". It matches the Rfam family "Bacterial small subunit ribosomal RNA", at positions 1 to 480 of the family's 1533-position model. The record is from RNAcentral. Lineage: Bacteria; Bacillati; Bacillota; Bacilli; Caryophanales; Bacillaceae.
UUUGGARAARAUUGAUCCUGGCUCAGGACGAACGCUGGCGGCGUGCCUAAUACAUGCAAGUCGAGCGGACAGAAGGGAGCUUGCUCCCGGAUGUUAGCGGCGGACGGGUGAGUAACACGUGGGUAACCUGCCUGUAAGACUGGGAUAACUCCGGGAAACCGGAGCUAAUACCGGAUAGUUCCUUGAACCGCAUGGUUCAAGGAUGAAAGACGGUUUCGGCUGUCACUUACAGAUGGACCCGCGGCGCAUUAGCUAGUUGGUGGGGUAAUGGCUCACCAAGGCGACGAUGCGUAGCCGACCUGAGAGGGUGAUCGGCCACACUGGGACUGAGACACGGCCCAGACUCCUACGGGAGSCMSCAGUAGGGAAUCUUCCGCAAUGGACGAAAGUCUGACGGAGCAACGCCGCGUGAGUGAUGAAGGUUUUCGGAUCGUAAAGCUCUGUUGUUAGGGAAGAACAAGUUCGAGAGUAACUGCUCGCMCCU